This is a long non-coding RNA of Medicago truncatula (barrel medic), 496 nucleotides long. RefSeq lists it as uncharacterized. The record is from RefSeq and is a predicted model, not a curated record. The transcript has 2 exons. Lineage: Eukaryota; Viridiplantae; Streptophyta; Magnoliopsida; Fabales; Fabaceae.
GUCACGUGGGACAUUAUUGGGUGGAUGGAAAGUGAUAUAUAUUUCACUGUACUGUACCAUAUAAAAAUUUCCACCUUGGAUACGAGUUCCCAUUUCAAGUUAGUUUAAGUAACUUUUUUUGUGAACACAAGUUGCAGCAGGAGAAGGAUCACCAUGGCUUUCAAUUAUACUACUACCAAGGGACGCCUAUAAUGUCGAGAUACUCCAAAACGGAGACGUACCAGUAUCAGAUACCGAUAUUUCACGGAUGUUCGCUGAUAUGUAUCAAUGAAGUAUCAAAAUUAAUUAUUUUAAUUUUUAAUAAAUAUUUUAUCGGAUAUUUAUGUGAUACUCCACACAUACACAAUGAUAUUUCCAAGAUACUUCACAUAUACGUAUCCUAAGAAAAGAUGAAGAGUAAAAAUGUGAGACAAUGUUGUAAGAAUUCAUUAUAGAUUGAUGUAUAUGAUUCAAUUUUAGAUAUGCAUCAAUAUAAUUGUUCUCGAUGAAUCUAAAA